CACCAAUAGUCACUGAUGAUGGAAAACACGGGGUUCCAUAGAUGUUGCUGCUUCAGAUUUAUAAGGACACACAAAACUCUUGUAUCAUAGGAGCAAACCCACCAGCUACCAGUGACUGCAUGGGGCCUUUCCCCCAGCUCUUCUCUCUCAACGGUAAUUCCCUUUGUGUAACUUUCAGUUUUCUGCAGUGCCAGCAGUCGUGACUGGUUGUGGCAUCUCUAACAAAGCACAUUGGAUGUUGUUUUAAAGUCCCAUGGUCAGAGCUAAAAAUAGGACGAUGCUAUAUCAUCUGAUAUUUUCAGAUGAUCAGCUACACCACUCCCCUCCUUUCUGAAACCAACAGAGAAUAUCACACUGGCCCAUUACAUUGAUGACAUGCUAAUUGGAUCCAGUGGGUGAGAGGUAGCAAACACAUUGGACUUAUUGCCACCCUGAAUGAAUCUCAACAGUUGAUUAUAUCAGACCUCUUCCAUCAUGGAAAGGUCAAUGGCUUGUUCUCACCAGAAUUGAUACUUACUCCAGAUAUGGGUGUGCCUAUCCCAUGCACAAUGCUUCUGCCAAGGCUACCAUCUAUGGACUCACAGAAUGCCUUAUCUACCAUCACAGUAUUCCACACACAU
Long non-coding RNA from Cebus imitator (Panamanian white-faced capuchin), 620 nucleotides. RefSeq lists it as uncharacterized. Lineage: Eukaryota; Metazoa; Chordata; Mammalia; Primates; Cebidae. The record is from RefSeq and is a predicted model, not a curated record. The transcript is spliced from 3 exons.